RNAcentral lists this ribosomal RNA (490 nucleotides) under Lactiplantibacillus plantarum. RNAcentral describes it as "bacterial SSU rRNA". It matches the Rfam family "Bacterial small subunit ribosomal RNA", at positions 64 to 529 of the family's 1533-position model. The record is from RNAcentral. Lineage: Bacteria; Bacillati; Bacillota; Bacilli; Lactobacillales; Lactobacillaceae.
GGAUUGAUUGGUGCUUGCAUCAUGAUUUACAUUUGAGUGAGUGGCGAACUGGUGAGUAACACGUGGGAAACCUGCCCAGAAGCGGGGGAUAACACCUGGAAACAGAUGCUAAUACCGCAUAACAACUUGGACCGCAUGGUCCGAGCUUGAAAGAUGGCUUCGGCUAUCACUUUUGGAUGGUCCCGCGGCGUAUUAGCUAGAUGGUGGGGUAACGGCUCACCAUGGCAAUGAUACGUAGCCGACCUGAGAGGGUAAUCGGCCACAUUGGGACUGAGACACGGCCCAAACUCCUACGGGAGGCAGCAGUAGGGAAUCUUCCACAAUGGACGAAAGUCUGAUGGAGCAACGCCGCGUGAGUGAAGAAGGGUUUCGGCUCGUAAAACUCUGUUGUUAAAGAAGAACAUAUAUCUGAGAGUAACUGUUCAGGUAUUGACGGUAUUUAACCAGAAAGCCACGGCUAACUACGUGCCAGCAGCCGCGGUCAUACGUA